Long non-coding RNA from Ctenopharyngodon idella (grass carp), 1406 nucleotides. RefSeq lists it as uncharacterized. The record is from RefSeq and is a predicted model, not a curated record. The transcript has 5 exons. NCBI's taxonomy places the organism in Eukaryota, Metazoa, Chordata, Actinopteri, Cypriniformes, Xenocyprididae.
CUCUAGUACACCCAGGAUACAGUCCUGAAAAACUUCUGGUCGUGGUGUGAAUGAGGAUCUCUGAAUGGCUAGUUCGCAGGACGAGCGGUAAACCUGUUGAGCGGACAGGUGUCGUUUGAGGCUCCGGAGUAAAGAUGGCAGAAUGCAAGUUUCAGGAUGAAUGCUAACGAAUAGCUGCUUUCAGAAAGACUGUAUGACAGCAUAAGUGAACUUAAAGGAGGAGAAGUUAACAACACUCAAACAUUCAAGUGAUAAUGCAAACCUAACCUUAACCCCAGUGAAGAGGGCCGGUCAGGGUUUGUUCCCUCUCUUUGCGCAGGCAUUCUGGGUGAACGACCCUGCAUUAUUGACUACAGUACAAAAGCACACGUUGAUUCACCUCAAAUGAAGCGAGAGCCGGCGGGCGAUCAGAUGAAGGGAAAGUGAAUAUUGCGCCACAUGUAGGGGAACAGCCAAAACCUGUGUGUGUGAAGAGCAAACCCACGCUUGUUCAAACAUCAAUAUUAAUGUAUGGAAAGGAGAGAACAUGGAAAAGGAGGCAGCUCUGGGAAUACAGUCUCGGCUGCGCUUGUGCGUUUGGAAACGAACGUUUCACCCGAGCCGAAAUAUAGAUGAUAUAUGUUAGUCUUGUUUUCCCCGGGCGCUUGUGUGCAGGACGCAUCCAGAUCUGGUCUGAUCCAGGUUUGUUCUCCUCAGCGUUGUCCUCAGCUGAACUCGGGCAGCCUGUCAGACGGAGGAGGGGGUUUCAGGAGGAGCAGGAAACCGCGCGGCACGGAAGGAUGGAGGGAGGCACUACGCUUCACCCAGCGUGGGGUUGCUUAUCUGUGGCCGACUGAGCGCCAGCGCCUCCCUGCUGAGAAACCCUGGAGACAGAGGCCUUUCUGUGUCUGAACUGAUACAGAGGAAAUCAAUCAGGUAAACAACAGAAUGUGUGUGUAUAAAUAUUCAGUAAGGACACAUUAAAUUGAUCAGCAAAGACAUUUAUAAUGUUACAAAUGAUUCUAUUUCAAAUCAAUGCUGUUCUUUUGAACUUUUUGAUUCAUCAAAGAAUCCUGAAAAAUAAAAUGUAUGACAGUUUUCAACAUUGAUAAUAAUCAUAAAUGUUUCUUGAGCAUCAAAUCAUCCUAUCAGAACGAUUUCUGAAGGAUCAUGUGACACUGAAGACUGGAGUAAUGAUGCUGAAAAUUCAGCUUUGAUCACAGGAAUAAAUUACACUUUACUAUAUAUUCACAUAGAAAACAGCUGUUUUACAUUGGAAUAAUAUUUCACAAUUUUUACUGUAUUUUUGAUCAAAUAAAUGCUGAGCAGAAGAGACUUUAUUCAAAAACAUUACAAAAUCUGACCAACCCCAAAUGAGGAUUAUUAUCAUUGAAUAUAAUAUAAUAAUAUAUAUAUAUAUAUAUAUG